RNAcentral lists this ribosomal RNA (498 nucleotides) under uncultured bacterium. RNAcentral's name for it is "bacterial SSU rRNA". It matches the Rfam family "Bacterial small subunit ribosomal RNA", at positions 903 to 1397 of the family's 1533-position model. The record is from RNAcentral.
AAAGGAAUUGACGGGGGCCCGCACAAGCGGUGGAGCAUGUGGUUUAAUUCGACGCAACGCGAAGAACCUUACCAGGAUUUGACAUCCUCUGCUAGCGCAAGAGAUUGCGUUUUUAAUCUUCGGAUUAACAGAGAGACAGGUGGUGCAUGGUUGUCGUCAGCUCGUGUCGUGAGAUGUUGGGUUAAGUCCCGCAACGAGCGCAACCCUUAUUCUUAGUUGCCAGCAUUAUGGAUGGGCACUCUAAGGAGACUGCCGGUGACAAACCGGAGGAAGGUGGGGAUGACGUCAAAUCAUCAUGCCCUUUAUGUCCUGGGCUACACACGUGCUACAAUGGCCUGUACAGCGGGUAGCGAAGUCGCAAGAUGGAGCCAAUCCCCCAAAGCAGGUCUCAGUUCGGAUUGCAGGCUGCAACUCGCCUGCAUGAAGUAGGAAUCGCUAGUAAUCGCGGAUCAGCAUGCCGCGGUGAAUACGUUCCCGGGCCUUGUACACACCGCCCGU